RNAcentral lists this ribosomal RNA (247 nucleotides) under uncultured bacterium. RNAcentral describes it as "partial 16S ribosomal RNA". It matches the Rfam family "Bacterial small subunit ribosomal RNA", at positions 523 to 769 of the family's 1533-position model. The record is from RNAcentral.
AUACGUAGGGGGCAAGCGUUGUCCGGAAUUACUGGGCGUAAAGGGUGCGUAGGCGGCAAUGCAAGUCUGGAGUGAAAGCCCGGGGCUCAACCCCGGGACUGCUUUGGAAACUGUGGAACUGGAGUGCAGGAGAGGUAAGUGGAAUUCCUAGUGUAGCGGUGAAAUGCGUAGAUAUUAGGAGGAACACCAGUGGCGAAGGCGACUUACUGGACUGUAACUGACGCUGAAGCACGAAAGCGUGGGGAGC